Molecule: ribosomal RNA, 253 nt
Filed under: uncultured bacterium
Lineage: Bacteria
Description: partial 16S ribosomal RNA
Rfam family: Bacterial small subunit ribosomal RNA
Source: RNAcentral
UACAGAGGGUGCGAGCGUUGUUCGGAAUUAUUGGGCGUAAAGGGCGCGUAGGCGGUGCGGUAAGUCACCUGUGAAAUCUCCUGGCUCAACUGGGAGCUUGCAGGCGAAACUGCCGUGCUGGAGUGUGGGAGAGGUGCGUGGAAUUCCUGGUGUAGCGGUGAAAUGCGUAGAUAUCAGGAAGAACACCCGUGGCGAAAGCGGCUCUCUGGAACGGUACUGACGCUGAGACGCGAAAGCGUGGGGAGCGAACAGG